GAUGAACGCUGGCGGCGUGCCUAAUACAUGCAGGUCGAGCGAACGGACGAGAAGCUUGCUUCUCUGAUGUUAGCGGCGGACGGGUGAGUAACACGUGGAUAACCUACCUAUAAGACUGGGAUAACUUCGGGAAACCGGAGCUAAUACCGGAUAAUAUUUUGAACCGCAUGGUUCAAAAGUGAAAGACGGUCUUGCUGUCACUUAUAGAUGGAUCCGCGCUGCAUUAGCUAGUUGGUAAGGUAACGGCUUACCAAGGCAACGAUGCAUAGCCGACCUGAGAGGGUGAUCGGCCACACUGGAACUGAGACACGGUCCAGACUCCUACGGGAGGCAGCAGUAGGGAAUCUUCCGCAAUGGGCGAAAGCCUGACGGAGCAACGCCGCGUGAGUGAUGAAGGUCUUCGGAUCGUAAAACUCUGUUAUUAGGGAAGAACAUAUGUGUAAGUAACUGUGCACAUCUUGACGGUACCUAAUCAGAAAGCCACGGCUAACUACGUGCCAGCAGCCGCGGUAAUACGUAGGUGGCAAGCGUUAUCCGGAAUUAUUGGGCGUAAAGCGCGCGUAGGCGGUUUUUUAAGUCUGAUGUGAAAGCCCACGGCUCAACCGUGGAGGGUCAUUGGAAACUGGAAAACUUGAGUGCAGAAGAGGAAAGUGGAAUUCCAUGUGUAGCGGUGAAAUGCGCAGAGAUAUGGAGGAACACCAGUGGCGAAGGCGACUUUCUGGUCUGUAACUGACGCUGAUGUGCGAAAGCGUGGGGAUCAAACAGGAUUAGAUACCCUGGUAGUCCACGCCGUAAACGAUGAGUGCUAAGUGUUAGGGGAUUCCGCCCCUUAGUGCUGCAGCUAGCGCAUUAAGCACUCCGCCUGGGGAGUACGACCGCAAGGUUGAAACUCAAAGGAAUUGACGGGGACCCGCACAAGCGGUGGAGCAUGUGGUUUAAUUCGAAGCAACGCGAAGAACCUUACCAAAUCUUGACAUCCUUUGACAACUCUAGAGAUAGAGCUUUCCCCUUCGGGGGACAAAGUGACAGGUGGUGCAUGGUUGUCGUCAGCUCGUGUCGUGAGAUGUUGGGUUAAGUCCCGCAACGAGCGCAACCCUUAAGCUUAGUUGCCAUCAUUAAGUUGGGCACUCCAAGUUGACUGCCGGUGACAAACCGGAGGAAGGUGGGGAUGACGUCAAAUCAUCAUGCCCCUUAUGAUUUGGGCUACACACGUGCUACAAUGGACAAUACAAAGGGCAGCGAAACCGUGAGGUCAAGCAAAUCCCAUAAAUUUGUUCUCAGUUCGGAUUGUAGUCUGCAACUCGACUACAUGAAGCUGGAAUCGCUAGUAAUCGUAGAUCAGCAUGCUACGGUGAAUACGUUCCCGGGUCU
Molecule: ribosomal RNA, 1371 nt
Filed under: uncultured bacterium
Lineage: Bacteria
Description: bacterial SSU rRNA
Rfam family: Bacterial small subunit ribosomal RNA
Source: RNAcentral